Molecule: non-coding RNA, 30 nt
Filed under: Mus musculus (house mouse)
Lineage: Eukaryota; Metazoa; Chordata; Mammalia; Rodentia; Muridae
Source: RNAcentral
UAAGGCUCAGCUUUGAUGCAACGGGUGGUU